RNAcentral lists this ribosomal RNA (253 nucleotides) under uncultured bacterium. Its description in RNAcentral is "partial 16S ribosomal RNA". It matches the Rfam family "Bacterial small subunit ribosomal RNA", at positions 524 to 776 of the family's 1533-position model. The record is from RNAcentral.
UACAGAGGUCUCAAGCGUUGUUCGGAUUCAUUGGGCGUAAAGGGUGCGUAGGCGGCGCGGUAAGUCGGGUGUGAAAUCUCGGAGCUUAACUCUGAAACUGCAUUCGAUACUGCCGUGCUUGAGGACUGGAGAGGAGACUGGAAUUUACGGUGUAGCGGUGAAAUGCGUAGAUAUCGUAAGGAAGACCAGUGGCGAAGGCGGGUCUCUGGACGGUUCCUGACGCUGAGGCACGAAGGCCAGGGGAGCAAACGGG